Arachis ipaensis is the source of this 707-nucleotide non-coding RNA. The record is from RefSeq and is a predicted model, not a curated record. Lineage: Eukaryota; Viridiplantae; Streptophyta; Magnoliopsida; Fabales; Fabaceae.
UCAACAUAUGUAUGUUAUUGUUUUUUCUCUAUUGAAGAACCCAUCAUUUUAACUUUUAAAUCAAUUUUCAAAUUAUACUUGGCCUUUGCUUAAUGCAGACACCUUACUAGUGGUUUGGCCAAUGAUGUAUUCUAUUGCACGUAUUAUCAGAUAUAUGUAUCUGAUGAAAUCUUAAAUUGUCACUACCUCUGAGGCCAUCCAUCUCGUAUAGUUAAAUCUUUUUACUGGUCUUUGUUAUUUGCACGUGUUGUUAGCUCACUCCUGCUUACAUUCCUCUGAUUUCUUCUUCCUUGGUGAACAUUUUGGUGCCAAGGAUGAUUAGCAAAAGAACCAUGGAUGGAGCUGCUAUUCAAUGUGAUACAAGCCUGAUGAUUGUAACUAAGAACGGAGAUUUGAAGAUUGCUUUUGUUGAAGUCUGACCACAGUUGGGCUCCAAAAGAAUCUUAUGAAAUAAACCAAUCUAUGUUGGGGUAGAUGGAGAGAUUAACUUGCACAAGAAAUGUGAAACCAAUGGAGGAGAAGACAUCACGCUCAAUAAUUGAAAUAAUUUUUCUAUGUGUGAGGUUGUAAUAUUGAUUUUAUUUUGUUGAUGUGUUUGUCUUCUUGUAUAAGAGUUGUGCAUGUAUGCUUAUUAGUGCUAGUAAUUUUUUACUUUUGAGACUUCUUUGUAACUUUCAUUUGCAUAAUAGUAAUGCUUUUUUAGUAAA